RNAcentral lists this ribosomal RNA (462 nucleotides) under uncultured bacterium. RNAcentral describes it as "partial 16S ribosomal RNA". It matches the Rfam family "Bacterial small subunit ribosomal RNA", at positions 28 to 506 of the family's 1533-position model. The record is from RNAcentral.
GACGAACGCUGGCGGCGUGCUUAACACAUGCAAGUCGAACGGAAAGGCCUUUUCGGAGGUACUCGAGUGGCGAACGGGUGCGUAACACGUGGGUGAUCUGCCCUGCACUCUGGGAUAAGCCUGGGAAACUGGGCCUAAUACCGGAUAGGACCGCACUUUAGUGUGUGUGGUGGAAAGUUUUUUCGGUGUAGGAUGAGCCCGCGGCCUAUCAGCUUGUUGGUGGGGUAAUGGCCUACCAAGGCGGCGACGGGUAGCCGGACUGAGAGGUUGGUCGGCCACAUUGGGACUGAGAUACGGCCCAGACUCCUACGGGAGGCAGCAGUGGGGAAUAUUGCACAAUGGGCGCAAGCCUGAUGCAGCGACGCCGCGUGGGGGAUGACGGCCUUCGGGUUGUAAACUCCUUGCGCCAGGGACGAAGCGUUUUGUGACGGUACCUGGAGAAGAAGCACCGGCUAACUACGU